GGGAGGCAGCAGUGGGGAAUUUUGGACAAUGGGGGAAACCCUGAUCCAGCCAUUCCGCGUGAGUGAAGAAGGCCUUCGGGUUGUAAAGCUCUUUCGGCAGGGAAGAAAUCGCAAGGGUGAAUAUCCCUUGUGGAUGACGGUACCUGAAGAAGAAGCACCGGCUAACUACGUGCCAGCAGCCGCGGUAAUACGCAGGGUGCGAGCGUUAAUCGGAAUUACUGGGCGUAAAGCGUGCGCAGGCGGUUUUUUAAGCCAGAUGUGAAAUCCCCGGGCUUAACCUGGGAACUGCGUUUGGAACUGAAAGACUAGAGUGUGUCGGAGGGAGGUAGAAUUCUACGUGUAGCAGUGAAAUGCGUAGAGAUGUGGAGGAAUACCGAUGGCGAAGGCAGCCUCCUGGGAUAACACUGACGCUCAUGCACGAAAGCGCGGGGAGCAAACAGGAUUAGAUACCCCGGU
This 456-nucleotide ribosomal RNA is filed under the name uncultured bacterium. RNAcentral describes it as "bacterial SSU rRNA". It matches the Rfam family "Bacterial small subunit ribosomal RNA", at positions 343 to 791 of the family's 1533-position model. The record is from RNAcentral.